This 250-nucleotide ribosomal RNA is filed under the name uncultured bacterium. RNAcentral describes it as "partial 16S ribosomal RNA". It matches the Rfam family "Bacterial small subunit ribosomal RNA", at positions 524 to 772 of the family's 1533-position model. The record is from RNAcentral.
GACGGAGGGGGCUAGCGUUGUUCGGAAUUACUGGGCGUAAAGCGCGCGUAGGCGGCGCAUUAAGUCAGAGGUGAAAGCCCAGGGCUCAACCCUGGAACUGCCUUUGAUACUGCCAGUCUAGAGUUCGGGAGAGGUGAGCGGAAUUCCGAGUGUAGAGGUGAAAUUCGUAGAUAUUCGGAGGAACACCAGAGGCGAAGGCGGCUCACUGGACCGAUACUGACGCUGAGGAGCGAAAAGCGUGGGGAGCAAA